GCGAGGUUCUCCUUUCUCCUUCUCUCGCGAAUGAACCCGAGCGUUUGAGAACCACUCCCAGAUUCCUUGUGGACGGUCCCUCCCCACUCUUCCCCGGAGACCGCCGGAGUUGGGCAAGAGUCCCUCCCCUUUGUAGCUGUAGUUGUAUUUAGGGUCUUAAUGAAUCAGAUUUGACUUCGAGCUUUUGCCGGUAUCUCUCCUUUUAGAUCUGGCUGGAAAGGCCACCGGAGACGGCAACGAUAGCAGUGUUUGCUACACUUUUGAGCUGGCUCUGGUUGUCAACUUCCAACAAGUGUCCCUUCUUCCGUGCUACCAAUGGAGGCUACUAGUGGCAGGACGCCAUGAGUAUGCUUGGGCGUAUCAGGCUCUGCCGACGAGCUACUUGCUCCCGGCGCUGCCAAUGCCAAACUGCCCAUAGAGGAUGAGUGGAUAGAAGGGCACUUCGCAACAGGGUUACGACGAGCAAGAGAAUUUGGUCAUGGAACAGUCUUUGGUGAAGACUGAUCUAGAACUGGCAAUAUGUUUAUAAGCGUUGUGCAAAAUUUUGGUGAUCUGACUGAGCAGGUCGGUUUUGAAAUAUAGCCAAAAAUCAUGUCAAUGUGCCACUACUGUUUUGCACAAAAUUCUGUUCUAUUUGGGUGGUGCCAAACUACCAACAGAAGACAAGCUGUCUUCUGGAGUUCUGGUAGACCAAUGCCAAAAUUGCAUAGUUGUAUGUUAUUUAGGGUCUCUAUUGCAUAUGACUUGGAGUUGUCUCUGUUGACAUCACGUGGUAAUGAAAUUUACAACAUCAUUCCUGCCAUAUUCAGUUUAAUCAAGCAGUAUACCCUUUGAUUCCCUACUCGUAAGGUGGUAUAAAUAAUCAAACCAGGGUUCAAAGCAUCAGUUUCUACUAUGUGAAAUGCAGUUUCAACUCUAAGGCUCUCUGGCCUCGCUUUGGCCUUUCUACUUCUACUAUACAUAAUUUUGGAGGGCAUCAAUAAUUAAAUCCAAGAAGUUUACCCAUACACUUCUAUUUGCCAUGUCUUGCUCAUUUUUUAUUCAGAUUUACUUCACUUAUAAUUAGAUAGUACGUAGUAAGUUAUACUAAUUCUGGAGUGUUCCUCCCUUUUCUUUUGGCGAAAGAAAGUGUUCCUAAUUUUUGAGCAAGUCCGAAUUCUGAAUAAUUGUUUUUUGUCCUGCUGCGUGAACCAGGAACUUUUGGACUUUGGAACAAUUCUCUACUACACUGCUACUAUGAAAAUAUUAACAGCAUGUAGAUUUGCUUCAGUGUCAGUUGUUGUUAUGAGUUUCAACUCAUCUCAGCAUGGUCUUAACGUAUGACUGUCUUCAUAGCCCUCAAAGAAGAAAAAUCCUAUAAGUUUAGCACAACUGAUGCUGUUUCAUUUGACGAUCAGUUUUAUUAAGCAUAAAAACAUUCAUGUGACAUCUUUCAUUUGUAAUGCAAUGAGCAAUAAAGACUUGUAGAUUGUGUACCACUCUACUUGUGAAAUUCUUGGCAUUUUGGUUGUCUUUUGGGUCUAUUUACUUCACACAAAGUUUAGCAUUUUUAAACUCUUGAAUGCUUGUAACCUAAUGAUCUACUUAUAGUGUGCUUAUGACAAGGUCUGAAUGCUUCUAAACUUAUUGAACUAAAGGGUCCUGAUGAUUACAAUUUAUCAAUGUUUAUAGAGUAUAUUCCAAUGCAUCUCAUCCUGAUAUGUUUUGUUAAAUAGAACAAUAUUUCAGCAAAGGACAUGUCCUUUUUUUUUGUAUUUCACAAGUACGUAAUUACCAUAUAAACUGAAAAUUGCUACAUUGAUAGCAUACAUACUGCAUUUUUUUAGCCCAAAUUCUAAAAAGUGCAGCUGCACUUUUUAGACGUCCCGAGCACACAGGCCUGCGAGCCGUUGGAUGCGCGAUCACGGUCCCCAGGUGUGCCGCUGUAGGAGGAAAUCGUCCGUGCUAAUUCAACCGCCGAAGCGGCAGCCAGUGUAAAAUAAAAGCUUCGCUAUUUCUUCCCAGAAAAAACACCUAGCCCGAUCCCCUUUUCCUUGUCGAGCAGAGGAGCGCCGGCGUCGAUUCCCGGGUGGUCGAGGGGGAGGCGGUAGAUUGGAGGAGCCCGAUCCUCUUCAUCCUCUCUCUCGCGACCCGAUCCUCACCAACUCCUCCUCCCGGCGACGCACCCCGCCUCCUCCAAUCGGCGAAAUGCCCCCUCCCACUCGCCGGAGAGCGCCGUUGCGCCUCCGCAGCCAUCGGAUGCCAACAGCCCCUCCCCCCGCCACCGCAUCUCCACAGCCGCCGCACGCCACCGACCCCUCCGGAUCGCCGCAUCGCCAGGAUCUCAGCAGCCUGCCGGAUGCAGCCGCUGCGCUCGGAUCCCCGCGGCCUCCUGGAUCCCAUCGCCGUCGGGUCUCCCGCUCCAACGCCGGGCCGACCCAUAUCCAUGACGAAGGCGAGCGCGCACUGCCUCCAUGCUCCUCAUUCAGGGCCGUUGGCCCUGACACCAUCACAGCGGGCCUCUUCCUCUCCAGCAGCUCGCUGCCGACCGCAUCUAGGACGGCCUCGACCUCCUGCUGCUAGCUGCAGGUGCUGGCUAUAGCUUGGACUGGAGCAGGAAAAUUGCAUCAAGGUAGAAGGUGGAUGAUGGUGUUUGUGCCUUUUCUCUUGAAUUGUUGCUGGUGAUGGCUGCAAUUUGAAGACGUCGGUUUUUUCUCUCUUUUCAUAUUCUGCAAUUGUGCUUCCCCUAUGCGUGAUGAUUCUAUUGCUUGGUGCAUUGUGGUUUGGGUUGUUUUACUGCUUGACAUUGAUCUGUGUGAGCCUGUGACAGUUGGAGAGAUGAUAGUAGCAAGUACAAACUCUCUUGAAUGGUUAGUUGAUAGUAUAGUGGUAACUGUACUAUGAUCAUAUAAUAAAGCAGAAAAAAUUCAAGAUUUAUAUUGAGCUAUUGGACUCAUUUCUUCUAUUAGACUUGCUGAAACUUGCAUGAUGUUUUGAUAAGUAGAUGCCUCAUUUCUGCUAUUGGACUUGCUCAAUGGGUCGACACUCGACAGGCAAUUUGUAUCCCCUAUCUUAUUUCUUCGGCAAGUUGGCUGCAGAAUCUAUGGGAAUUGUCUACAAACCUAGUAUGAGUUGCUACCUUUUAAUCUUUUUUUCUAAACAAAACCUGGAUUGCCUGGAUAUAGUAUGCAAUUUGCUUAGAUUAGAGCACAACUUGCCUACAACAACUAAAACAUUUGCCCAGGGGACACAACACAACUUGAUGUUCCACACAAUAUAGGUCCACUUUUUUUGCCUAAAACUUGUAGGCAAAUUGCCUACAAACCAAGUAGUAGGUGCUCCUGACUUCCACUACUUUUUUUCUACGGCUAGCAAACCAAUGAGUUGGCUGCAAAAACUAUGGAAAUUGCCUACAAACCCAAUACGAAUUGCUACCUUUCAAUCCUCUUUUUCUAAACAAAGCUUAGAGUUGCCUGGAUAUGCUAUGCAAUUUUCUUAGAUCAGAGCACAACUUUCCUUCAACCACUGGUGCAUUGACACAACACAACUUGAUGUUCUACACAAUAUAAGUCCACAUUUUUUUCUCGCAACAUGUCAAAUUGCCUAUGAACCAAGUAGUAGAUUCUCCCGACUUCCAUUAUUUAUUUUUUCUUUGGUAUUCAAGCUAAUGAAUUGGCUACAAAAUUUAUGGAAAUUUCCUACAAACCCAGUGCAAGUUUAUAGUGGCUACUUAUAGUAGUUGCUCCUGACUUAGCGUUUUUCACUUGGAGCAGAGGGCAAAUAUAGAGGCUACUUAUUGUAUUACGUACAGUACUACACAUGAACGGAUACUUGUAGUUGUAUAACACAAACCAAUCUGCACAAGAGACGCAUACCCCCUUCCUCACUUUAACCUGAAAGCUUGGCCGUGCCCCACCUUUGUAUUUGCUUCGAUCCUGCAGCACUACCACAGAGGUCUAGAGGCCUACAACGGCUACAAAGAUCCCUCAUGCGGACUAGAAGCAUAAAAAAUUGUUGCUAUGCUAAUCUAUGACAUCCCCUGGCAGGGAGAAGAAGAUGAACAUGAGAGAGAGAGAGAGGGAGGGAGAGGGAGAGGGAGAGGGAGAGGGAGGGAUGGGGGGAGGGAGGGAGAGAAGAAGAUGAACAUGAGAGAGGGAGGGAGGGAAGAAGAUGAACAUGAGAGAGAGAGAGAAGAUGAACAUGAGAGAGAGAGAGAAGAUGUAGUGGCAUUCAUGAUUCUGAGUCAUUUGUAUGGUUGCUACUACUUGUACUGCAAUGACUAUCAUAUCCUAUCAUAUUUGAAUAUUUGACUAGUAAUACCUGCUCUUGCUGGAGCAAACAAAACCCCUAAUCACCUAAGUGUUGUAAAUAUUCUUGCCUAAAAAAAUUGUUUGUUUUGCUUGAAGGGCCUCACUAAAUUCUCAAAUGAUGUCAAAGCAACAUUUUCGAGGUUUUGUGCACACGCCCAAGCAAGAGGCUUCAACAUACACUUCCAGCAGGACUUGCUUUUUUUAUUUUCCAUCUUUGCAAGCAAUAAGCUUUGCCAGCCACUUCAAGGAAUACUUCCUUCCUACGCCGCCCUUUUAUUGCCAGCAAAAAGUUUUACCAGCAACUUCCAGGGAUCAGGGCAUAGUGGCACACCCCCAAGUUGUCCAGAUAGAGAGGUGGCGCACGGAAGGUUCAAGUGCUGAUGGUUGGGUGGAUGGAUCCUGCAGAAGAUGGAGGAGGAAGGGGUUGAUGGGGAAGAAAGGGUGGAGGAGGAGCGGGGAAGGGAGAAAAGUCUCCAGAGGUUUUGUGCCGUGUGUUCACACACACUGGGUUGCGUCGGUUACGAUUGGGAGAAAAGGAAAUCUGGCCAUGUGCACGAUCAGAUCGUUUCUUUCCUUUUUUGACGCCAGCUGGCAACAAGAGAGGGUCCACUGCCUUAUUUAGGGCGUGUGCCCUGGACCGCUAGCUAGCCAACGGUUGCUGGCUAGUCGCGUCCUUUUUUUAGAUAGAACACAAGAAUUGGCAUAGUGUGAUUACACCUUUGCUCACUGAACACUUGAAUAACCGGAAUCAUCAAAGACCAUGACUUCUGGUACAAACAUGCCAUAUUCAAAACUA
Molecule: RNA transcript, 5085 nt
Organism: Triticum aestivum (bread wheat)
Lineage: Eukaryota; Viridiplantae; Streptophyta; Magnoliopsida; Poales; Poaceae
Exons: 7
Source: RefSeq, a predicted model, not a curated record